Non-coding RNA from Virgibacillus chiguensis, 47 nucleotides. The record is from Rfam. NCBI's taxonomy places the organism in Bacteria, Bacillati, Bacillota, Bacilli, Caryophanales, Bacillaceae.
UCAAUGGAUUUACUUAAAUCCACUGUAUGGUUUAGAAAUAUUGAAAG